CUAUCCAUGUCCAGGUUGAAGUUGCCGUAAAAGGCUAUGGAGGACCGAACCCACAUCCGUUGAAAAGGGUGGGGAUGAGGUGUGGAUAGGGGAGAAAUUCCAAUCGAACCCGGAGAUAGCUGGUUCUCCUCGAAAUAGCUUUAGGGCUAGCCUCAUAUAAGUCUUGCGGAGGUAGAGCACUGAAUUUCCUGGGGGGCGUCAAAGCUUACCGAAGAAUAUCAAACUCCGAAUGCCGUGUAGAUGUUGUAUGGGAGUCAGACUGUACGAGAUAAGUUGGACAGUCAAAAGGGAAAGAGCCCAGACCUGCAGCUAAGGCCCCAAAAUGUGUGUUAAGUGGAAAAGGAUGUGGGAUUUCAAAGACAACUAGGAUGUUGGCUUAGAAGCAGCCACUCAUUAAAAGAGUGCGUAAUAGCUCACUGGUCGAGUGGCUCUGCGCCGAAAAUUCAACGGGGCUAAAACAUAUACCGAAGCUUGGGCUUGACAGUAAUGUCAGGGGUAGGGGAGCGUUGUGUAAGGGGUGAAGUCAUAGCGAAAGCGGUGGUGGACUUUACACAAGUGAGAAUGCCGGAAUGAGUAGCGAGAAUUAUGUGAGAAUCAUAAUGGCCGAAAAUCUAAGGUUUCAGAAGGAAGGUUCGUCCGCUUCUGGUAAGCCGGGAGCUAAGGCGAGGCCGAAAGGCGUAGCCGAUGCACAUACGGUAGAAAUUCCGUAGCCUCUACCAAUUUAAACACAGGGACACUUUUGAAGGGUUCAGCCGGGCGAUGGUUGCCCCGGUCGUAAGGGACUGCAAAUGAGCGGGAAGUGAAUUUGGAAGAAGGCGAGAAAAGCUGUGUGAAUAGAAGAUAGAGCCCGUACCGCAAACCGACACAGGUAGAUAGGAAGAAGAUUCUAAGGCCAACGGGAGAAGGGUUGUUAAGGAACUCGGCAAGUUGACCCCGUAACUUAGGGAGAAGGGGUGCUCUUUAAGGAGAGCCGCAGAGAAUAGGCCCAAGCGACUGUUUAGCAAAAACACAGCUCUAUGCUAAAUCGAAAGAUGACGUAUAUGGGGUGACACCUGCCCGGUGCCGGAAGGUUAAGAGGAGGAGUGAGAGCUCUGAAUUGAAGCCCCGGUAAACGGCGGCCGUAACUAUAACGGUCCUAAGGUAGCGAAAUUCCUUGUCAGGUAAGUUCUGACCCGCACGAAUGGUGUAACGAUUUGGGCACUGUCUCAACAACCUGCCCGGCGAAAUUGUAGUACCGGUGAAGAUGCCGGUUACCCGCGACUAGACGGAAAGACCCCAUGGAGCUUUACUGCAGCUUAAUAUUGAAUUUCGGUAUUUCAUGUACAGGAUAGGCGGGAGACAGGGAACCAUAGGCGUCAGCUUAUGGGGAGUCGACCUUGGGAUACCACUCUUGAGGUGCUGGAAUUCUAACCUGCG
This 1416-nucleotide ribosomal RNA is filed under the name metagenome. RNAcentral's name for it is "bacterial LSU rRNA". It matches the Rfam family "Bacterial large subunit ribosomal RNA", at positions 730 to 2231 of the family's 2925-position model. The record is from RNAcentral.